CCUACGGGAGGCAGCAGUGAGGAAUAUUGGUCAAUGGACGAGAGUCUGAACCAGCCAAGUAGCGUGAAGGAUGACUGCCCUAUGGGUUGUAAACUUCUUUUAUAAAGGAAUAAAACGAGGCACGUGUGCCUUUUUGCAUGUACUUUAUGUAUAAGGAUCGGCUAACUCCGUGCCAGCAGCCGCGGUAAUACGGAGGAUCCGAGCGUUAUCCGGAUUUAUUGGGUUUAAAGGGAGCGUAGAUGGGUUGGUAAGUCAGUUGUGAAAGUUUGCGGCUCAACCGUAAAAUUGCAAUUGAUACUGGCAGACUUGAGUACAGUUGAGGUAGGCGGAAUUCGUGGUGUAGCGGUGAAAUGCUUAGAUAUCACGAAGAACUCCGAUUGCGAAGGCAGCUUACUAAACUGCCACUGACAUUGAUGCUCGAAAGUGUGGGUAUCAAACAGGAUUAGAUACCCCUGUAGUC
Molecule: ribosomal RNA, 460 nt
Filed under: uncultured bacterium
Lineage: Bacteria
Description: partial 16S ribosomal RNA
Rfam family: Bacterial small subunit ribosomal RNA
Source: RNAcentral